Molecule: ribosomal RNA, 667 nt
Filed under: Corynebacterium mastitidis
Lineage: Bacteria; Bacillati; Actinomycetota; Actinomycetes; Mycobacteriales; Corynebacteriaceae
Description: bacterial SSU rRNA
Rfam family: Bacterial small subunit ribosomal RNA
Source: RNAcentral
GUGCUUAACACAUGCAAGUCGAACGGAAAGGCCUCAGCUUGCUGGGGUACUCGAGUGGCGAACGGGUGAGUAACACGUGGGUGAUCUGCCCUCAACUUCGGGAUAAGCUUGGGAAACUGGGUCUAAUACCGGAUAGGACCAUGGUUUAGUGUUCAUGGUGGAAAGCUUUUGCGGUUGGGGAUGAGCUCGCGGCCUAUCAGCUUGUUGGUGGGGUAAUGGCCUACCAAGGCGGCGACGGGUAGCCGGCCUGAGAGGGUGUACGGCCACAUUGGGACUGAGAUACGGCCCAGACUCCUACGGGAGGCAGCAGUGGGGAAUAUUGCACAAUGGGCGCAAGCCUGAUGCAGCGACGCCGCGUGGGGGAUGAAGGCCUUCGGGUUGUAAACUCCUUUCGCUACCGACGAAGCCCUUCGGGGUGACGGUAGGUGGAGAAGAAGCACCGGCUAACUACGUGCCAGCAGCCGCGGUAAUACGUAGGGUGCGAGCGUUGUCCGGAUUUACUGGGCGUAAAGAGCUCGUAGGUGGUUUGUCGCGUCGUCUGUGAAAUUCCGGGGCUUAACUCCGGGCGUGCAGGCGAUACGGGCAUAACUUGAGUGCUGUAGGGGUAACUGGAAUUCCUGGUGUAGCGGUGGAAUGCGCAGAUAUCAGGAGGAACACCGAUGGCGAA